GCCUGGAUAGCUCACUUGGUUAGAGUGUGCUGCUGAUAAUGCCAAGUCUGCAGGUUCUAUCCCUGUACGAGACA
This 74-nucleotide transfer RNA is filed under the name Podarcis lilfordi (Lilford's wall lizard). RNAcentral's name for it is "tRNA.Ile". The record is from RNAcentral. Lineage: Eukaryota; Metazoa; Chordata; Lepidosauria; Squamata; Lacertidae.